Molecule: unclassified non-coding RNA, 240 nt
Filed under: soil metagenome
Description: partial contains 5.8S ribosomal RNA, internal transcribed spacer 2, and large subunit ribosomal RNA
Source: RNAcentral
AAGACUAUAGACCUGCGGAGUACCUGCGGAGGGAUCAUUAAAGAGUUUAACUACUCAAACCAUUGUGAACCUUACCUCAACCGUUGCUUCGGCGGGCGGGCCCGGGCCAAGCCCGGCGCCCCCCCGGCCCCUCGCGGGCGCCCGCCGGAGGUUAACCGAACCCUUGAAUUGUAUGGCCUCUCUGAGUCUUCUGUACUGAAUAAGUCAAAACUUUUAGCAACGGAUCUCUAGAUCGGAAGA